Molecule: transfer RNA, 72 nt
Filed under: Scolopax rusticola
Lineage: Eukaryota; Metazoa; Chordata; Aves; Charadriiformes; Scolopacidae
Description: tRNA-Trp
Rfam family: tRNA
About the family: Transfer RNA (tRNA) molecules are approximately 80 nucleotides in length. Their secondary structure includes four short double-helical elements and three loops (D, anti-codon, and T loops).
Source: RNAcentral
AGAAACUUAGGAUAAUCUUUAAACCGAGGGCCUUCAAAGCCCUAAACAAGAGUUAAACCCUCUUAGUUUCUG